This 292-nucleotide ribosomal RNA is filed under the name uncultured eukaryote. RNAcentral's name for it is "partial 18S ribosomal RNA". It matches the Rfam family "Eukaryotic small subunit ribosomal RNA", at positions 6 to 313 of the family's 1831-position model. The record is from RNAcentral.
GGUUGAUCCUGCCAGUAGUCAUACGCUCGUCUCAAAGAUUAAGCCAUGCACGUCUAAGUAUAAAUCCUUUUACUUUGAAACUGCGAAUGGCUCAUUAUAUCAGUUAUAGUUUCUUUGAUAGUCCCUUGCUACUUGAUUAACCGUAGUAAUUCUAGAGCUAAUACAUGCGUACUGACUUUCGAGUCGUGUUUAUUAGAUUGAAACCAACUCCUUCGGGGUGAUGUGGUGAUUCAUAAUAAGUUUGCGGAUCGCAUGGCUUGUGCCGGCGAUGGAUCAUUCAAGUUUCUGCCCU